RNAcentral lists this ribosomal RNA (441 nucleotides) under uncultured bacterium. RNAcentral describes it as "partial 16S ribosomal RNA". It matches the Rfam family "Bacterial small subunit ribosomal RNA", at positions 338 to 795 of the family's 1533-position model. The record is from RNAcentral.
CCUACGGGUGGCAGCAGUGGGGGAUAUUGCACAAUGGGGGGAACCCUGAUGCAGCGACGCCGCGUGUGGGAAGACGGUCCUCUGGAUUGUAAACCACUGUCCCCAGGGACGAAAAUGACGGUACCUGACCAAGAAGCCCCGGCUAACUACGUGCCAGCAGCCGCGGUAAUACGUAGGGGGCAAGCGUUAUCCGGAUUUACUGGGUGUAAAGGGAGCGUAGACGGCAGGGCAAGUCUGGAGUGAAAGGCGGGGGCUCAACCCCCGGACUGCUCUGGAAACUGCCAGGCUGGAGUGCAGGAGAGGUAAGUGGAAUUCCUAGUGUAGCGGUGAAAUGCGUAGAUAUUAGGAGGAACACCAGUGGCGAAGGCGGCUUACUGGACUGUAACUGACGUUGAGGCUCGAAAGCGUGGGGAGCAAACAGGAUUAGAUACCCUUGUAGUC